AAAAUGAAAGAGAGGCUUGGUGGAUCAGCCGUUGGGCCUAUGGCUGUCCGAUGUGUGGGGGGACAUGGGUUCGAGUUGUAUAGACGAGACUGCAAUCACAAAUGUUAAUUAGAUGGAGCUUUCCACUUUCAUGACAAUCAAAUCAAGGUGGUGCAUGCAUGACUGCAAUGUUAAUUAGCUGCGGCUUUCCACUUUCAUGACAAUCAAUUCAGGGCAAGCUCAUGCAGUAGCUGAUGUUGAAGAAAGCAGCACUCUUUGAUGGUAGUUUAUGUUCCUUUUUGUAGUUGCUGGUUGGAGCUUGGAAGUAAAGAGGAGCCGUUAGCCUUGCAGAAGUGGAAAUUCGUCCGUUUGUCCUAUGCAUCAGCUGUCUGGUGUAUGUAAAAGCGUUUAAGUUCCUCAGCUCGACAGCAACAGUUUUGGAAGGAAGGCUUGUGUUUUGGAAAAUGUUCAGGAGAGCUCCAUUAGUGAAGGUUCCCAGCAUUUCACAUAUAACAUUUCCUUUUCCUUUUAAUGGAAGUGACAUUACCUGUACAUUAUAGAUACGAGAAAUUGAUCAGGAUAGCAGGUGUGAAUGUAAUAGAUCCAUGUCUGUUUGAGACAACAUUAAUCAUUUAUUAGUAUGAUGCCCUGGUUUUUCAAGUUGCAGCAUCCAAUAAAAAAUGUCCAAUCUUGUUAACCCAUCAAAAAGAUUCAAAUCCUGUCUCUCUGCAAAAUUUGAGCUUGUUAUUUUCAUCUAACCAUCAAAUGUUUCAUUGGUCGAGCACGACAUGUUGUAGAGCAAGAAAUGAGAGCUGUAUUUUGCUUCACCUGAAAUAUUUGCUUUUGUUAAUUACCCAAUCCCUCACUUGGUUGGAUCCACUCUUUUCACCCGGUGGGUAUUUACUAACUUUUAUUUUUCCUGAAACUAUUAUUUAUUCUACUAUAUCAUAACAAAAAUAAAAUAUUGUAAAAUUAGUACUAAUCUAAUAUCGGAAGUUUUGUUUGAGAUAUCUCGUGCAAAGCGAAUUGAAAAAAUUUAUGAGGUAUAAAUUCCAACUGAUUAAGUAUUAAAUUAAAAAAAUAAUUAAAAGAUAAAUUAGAGAAUAAUUUUGAAUUUAUUAUAAUAAAUGCUAAAUGAAAUAGGGAAAUCAUUGUAUAUCAAGAGAUAUUUACUGUGAAUUAUAAUAGUAGUCUCACUUUUUAUUUUUUAUCUUAUCUUUUUAUAAGACAUUUCUUUAAUUGUUUGUGUUGUUUUAUUUCUUUUCUCUCUCCUGAUAAUUAAAAUGUACAAUUAUUAUCUAUUUGUUUGUUGUUUGUUUGUGUUAGGUAAGAAUUGGCAGACCCAAGUACCUUGUGUUUGAUAAACAUGUCAGAUCUAAACUUCUAGAAUCUGGUAUAAUCGCUAGAUUCAAUAGUCUUAAAUCUAGUAUAAUCACCGAACCUAAAACACUUAAAAUAUUUUUAAUAUUUUAAAAAAUUAUUAUUAAUCCACUGUGUGUUAUAAUAUGCUAAUAAAUAAGUUAAAAGGAAUUAGAAUAGUAAAGACUUAUUAAAAACAUGGCAUGGAGUAACUAGCAAACAAAUUCAAAUUUCAAAGAUGACAUAAAUGGGCAAACCCAAGAUUUCCAAAUCUCCACUUGGAAGGUAAUUAGACAUAGAUUAGAUAAUCAUAAUUGACUUAUCGCAAGACUUCCAAGAAUAGUCUGUGACACGUGUCCAAGAAAGCUUUGAUUUUGUAUGAAAUGGAUUUUUCUCCAUGGAAUAAUCAUGAUGGGUGGGAUUUAUCAUCUAUCGUUGUUUCUCGUCAAAACUAUAAGAUGAUUAUUAGAUUUUUUUUUUAAUAUUGUGAUGAGAAAUAUUUUUUAAAAAAUAAUUUUUAUUUGAAAAUAUAUUUAAAUAUUUUUUUAUAAAUUUUUUAUUUUUUUAUAUUAACAUGUUAAAACCAUAAAAAAACAUUAAAAAUUUAUUAAUUUGAUAUUUUUUCCAAGAAAAAUACAUUUUUAAAAUACAUCUAAAAGCAAAAUCUACUACACUCCUUAAAUAUUUAGGGAUGUUAGGGAGAGUAGAUGAUAUUAUUUUUUAAAAUAAUUUUUAUUUGAAAAUAUAUUAAAAUAUUUAUUUUUUAAAAUCAGCAAUUUUAAACAGAAAACAAUUUAGCCAGCCAUUCUUGAGUUUAUCUUGAAAAAAUUCAGUGCCUGUAAUUAUACAAGUUUUCAAAUCAAGUGUCUUUACUUUUUUUUUUUUUAAUUGUGCAUCUGUAUCUCCAUUUUUUAAUAUAUAUAUAUAUAUAUAUAUAUAUAUAUAUAUAAAUUUUAAUCAAUUUUUCUUUUUUAAAUUGGAACCGUCCAAACUAUAUAUUAAAAUAAACGCAGCCAAUAAUCUUGUAACUUCUAUUGCUUGAUGAAUCAAACUACAUAUAGUCAUAUACUUAAUUAUCCAAAUUAAAACCAUAGAAGUGUUUUCAUCAAUAUCAAUACCAUGAAAAACCUUUCAUUUUUUUAAAUAUUUUUUACUUUAAAGUAUAUUAAAAUAUUUUUUUAUUUUUAAUAUUAACACAUCAAAAUUAAAAAAAAAAAAUUAAUUUAAUAUUUUUUCAAUCCAACCACAUUUUUUAAAACGCAAUCAAGUAAAAUUUCAAACGCAACGUCAAUCACAAAUCAACAAUGGUACUAUGUAAACAGGACUAGACAAAGAACCCAAUUAUAAAUUGGCAAAUUGCCCAGCUAAUGGCCCGUUACCUCUAAGGCUAAAUCAGGCCCACCAUUCAACACUAAAUGCUCCGACAAGUCGUUCAUUUUGGGCUAUCAAGUGGACUGCUGGUCGAGUUGUUUAUGAGCCGGGAUGGACCGAACCGGGCCCAACCUAACGAUUAUUGAUUCACUUGUACCCUCCAAGAGCAUGUUCUUAUUACCUGAAGUGAAGUUGAAUUGUUUAUAAAUAAAUAAUUGUGAAUGUUUAUUAUAUAAACAUGUUUUAUUUUUAAAUAAUCGUAUUUAAAUUUUGAUAAUAAUUAUUAAAUUAAUUAGUUUACUUUGUGAAUUAUAUAAAAUAGUUUUAAACUAGAUUUAAGUAAAAAUUAGGGAAAAGAUUGAAUUAUCUUUCAAAAUUUAAUAAAACAUAGUUUGGAUAAAUAUAUAUAACUCUUAAAAAUAAUAAUUACAAGAAAUUCCUCACCUGAUGUUAUAUUAUUACAAAUUAUUUUUAUUUGAACAAUUAUUUUCAAUUAUAUAUGAUGAUGUGUAUAAAUUAACAUUACACAUAUGAAUAAAAGUUUUAAGAAUUAUUUUUUAAUAAAUUUUGUAUUUUUAAUACCAUUACUAUCACUAUCACUAUUUUUCCUAAAGAUUAAAAAAUAAUGUAACUCAAUAAACAACAAUAACAUGUAAAAAUCAACUAAGGUUUCAAUUUAAUAAUUUGAUGAAUUUUCUAUGUGAUUUUUAUUUUUAGAUUUUAAUACUUCAUUUUUAAUUAGCUUGAUUUUAAGUUUUUCUAGGGUUGUGAUGGUAAAAAUAAAGUUCCAAUAUAGUGUUAUAUAAUAUAAGGGUGAUUUAAGUAGCUGAUUUUAUGAAUAAAAGUAUAAUAAAAAAAUAAAAAUUAUCUUAUAUUUUAGGAUUCAUUUUUUUUUAAAAAAAACAUACUUUUUAGAAAAUUAAUAUUUUUAAAGAAUUUUACUAAUAUUAAUAUUUUCUUAAGGAUAUAAUAUUUAAUCAAAAUUUUUCAAAUAAUCAUGCUUUUAUACGUAAUUAUGAAUUGAUUUUAUGAUUUAAGAAGUAUUCUAAGUUUUAACUCGGAUAUAAAUAGAGAUUUUUCUUGAUAUUAGUGGGAUGUAAAACACAAUAUUUCAUAUUGAAUGUGAUCUGAACAUCUAUUUUUGUAAAACAAAAGAAAAAAAAUGAAAAGUAAGUUAACUAGAUCAUAUUAUUUUUUCCUUCAUAAAAAACACAUGUUUUUUUUAUAGUUCAUUGUUCAUUCAUGAGUCUACAAGAAAUGUAAAACAAAAUAAAAUAAUAUAAUUCAAAAGUUGACAUCAUUAAAGGCAAUAUUCAUCCAGUUCUACUUAAGUUGGGUUGCUUCGACUAUUUAUUGAUGAAUCGUUAUUUAUUAGUCAAACUUGUAGAAGCUAAACCAAUGACUUUUUUAAGCUUUAUUCAUAUCAAUCUUUGUUUGCUUCUUAUGAUGGGCAGUGCAAUGCACUAAUCUCCUUUUAUAUCUUUGUCCGCGUGAUGGAUCGACAUUUUUUGGCAUCAUGAAAAAAUAUUUUUUAAGCCUAAGUCCUUGUUUAAAAGGUUUAAAAACAAGAUGGUAAUCCAUUGAUAAGUGGGAAGGGUUUGCUUUCAUACCCAACAUUCAUAGACUUGGUAAAAUAUUAGACCCAAAUGACAUGACUGUAACUCGCUUCCAGACCCAACAUUCAUGGGUGUGGCUAAAAGCCGAGUCUAAAUGGGCACAUGUCUGACGAGUUGCCAGACCCACUGCCCUUAAUCAUUGGCACUGUGCCAAGCUUAAGUAGGUAUGAGCUUGACGAGUUACAAGACAUAUCGCCUUUGAGUUUGGAAGCGCACUGAGCCUAAUUAGGCAUGAGUUUGGCAUGCUAUUAGACUUUUUGACUAUGAGCUUAGUAAUGUGCCUAACACAGAAAAGUUAAAGGACUGUAGGUCAUUAUAGACCCCAUGUUGGACUAUAAGGCUCUAUUUGUUUAUUAUUAUGACUUUAACAUAAAAUGUUAGUGUCAGGGAUAUCCGUCUCCCUACCUUUAUAAAUGUAUAAAAAAUCUCGUAAUGACCUACUAUAUUCCCAUCUUAUUAUUGUGUAAGAGAUAUUUAUCUAUCAUUAAUGCUGUAUAAGGGAUAUUUAUUCAUCAUUAAUGUUAACAGGAGGAAAUGACUCUCUAAACCCUCUACUUUAGCAUAACGAUAAGGUUUAGGGGUUAUAAAUACCCCUUGAACUUUCCAGGUAAAAAGUUCACAAUUUUAUUCUCUGGACACUAUACUUUUAAAUCUCAGAAUAUUUAUCAUACAAAAAACAAGAACAAACACUCUUGUUUUUGGAUUUAAUGCUUAUUCUCUUAUUUAUUGCUAUUCUUUUCUUAAAAGUUAUUGACUUUAUCAUCUAAGGGUCCCUAAACUCCACUAAAAAGAAUUGUUUUGCAGGUGUUUGGCUUUUUACCACUAGUUAUCCACUUUCUAAGUUCUGAAGAAUGGAAUAUUGACACAAACAUAUGAUUACCCAUUAUCCAAAUACCAAAAAAUCUCAUUCCUAAGCAUAUUGGAUUUUGGAACGUCUUCAUUUGACACCAUUUAUGGGAACAAGUUCAAAAAGCCAUCAACUUUUUUCUGGGUUUGGCUUUUGACCUUUAUGAGCCAGUUUAUGACAAACAAUCAAGAUAUACUUGUGAUGAGACGUGUCAUAGACCUCCCUAUAAUUGUUGGCAUAUCUGCUCCAUUAGAGCUUUAAAAACUCUUUAAUUAGGUCUGACUCAUCACUGAGAUAGUGCUUUGAAACUAAAUCAAUAACAAUUAUUGAUAGAUUUCCUCCUCACCUAUAAGUACAAUUUUGCUUUCAAAACUUCAGAUAUGCUAGGGAUCAAUCCGAAAAUAGUUGCUUAUAGACUUCAAGUCAAUCUAACUUUCUCUCAUAUCUAACAUAAAAAGAGAAAUUUCAGAGGGUAAAGAUAGCUUGUAAUAAUUAUAAAAGUGGAUAAACUUUUAGCUACUAGGUUCGUUCAUGAGAUCAUAUAUCUUGAUUGGUUGACUAAUGUGGUCAUGGUGAAAAAAAAGUAUUGGAAAAUAGAGGAUGGGUGUGUAUUUCAUUGACUUAAACAAGGCAUGUCCAAAAGAUACUUUUUCUCUCAUAAAGAUUGAUAGAUUGGAGGACUCUAUAGUAGACUUUGAGUUAUUAAGUUUCUUGGAUAUAAUUCAGGAUACCGUCAAAUCCCUAUUUAUUUAGAAUAAGAGGAGAAUACUUAUUUCAUUACUGAAAGAUAAAACGUUUUGCUACAAGGCAAUGCCUUUUGGCUUGAAAAAUACAAUGGCUACUUAUCAACAUAUGGUUAAAAAAAUGUUUAAGCACCAAAUUAGAGGAUCAUUUAAGGAUAUGUGGAUGACAUGCUAGUGAAUAACAUGAUUUUUGAGCAACAUCUCAAGGAUCUAGAAGAGGUUUUUUUCUGGACAAGUGUUAGAUAAAGCUUAACCCAUUCAAAUAAUGUGUUCACCAUAAGAGGAGGAAAUUUUUUGGAUUUCCUAGUCAGCAGCAAGGGAAUAAAGUCCGACCCUUAGAAGAUUCAGGCAAUAUUGGAUAUAACUCCCCAUUAGAACGUCUCACUGGAAGACUAACUGCAAAUUUAUAUCUAGGAUAAGGAAACACAUUCGGCAUUUCUUCAAAGCUUUGAAAAAUAUCAUUAACUUUGAAUGGACACUAGAAUGUAGAAAAACUUUUGAAGAGCUCAAAGUAUAUCUUUUCUCUCUUAAGAUCUUGUGGAAAGUGAGAGUUUGUUCCUCUACCUUGGAAUUUUUAUUUUGAUAAUUAGUGUGGGGUUCUAACAGACUAAAACCUACCUGGUUUUACUAUAGAACCAAUGGUUUUGAGUUUAUGUGGUUUUGUAGGAAACUUAGAGAUCAAGGUUUUAAACCCUUGACGGGAACCUUCUAGAAGUUUCUAAGUGGGAGCAAAUGAAAAAGUUAGGUGGUUUCCUGUAAAUGGGUGUCAUUGUCAGGUUGAUUGGGGUAGUCACUUUCAUGGCUUUGCCGGAGCAACUCCGACAUCAACGUUAUCUAAGACCACUUGAACUUGGUAGAGGGGAUGCACAUCUUUCAAUCGGAUCCAUUCUUGCUUGAUUUGAAUGUCUGUAUCUUCACAUUCAAACAUUUGAAAGUGCCAACUCAAACAGUAUGGUAUCUGAAACUGUAAUGUUGGCUUAUUAGUAACAAGAUGUUGUGGAGAUCAAUAAAGAAUAUGGAACAUAUAUAUUUGAUUUUAAAAAUAUAAGGUUGUAAAAGUGAUGUUUUUCAGUUGAAUAAUGAUUAUUACAGCUUUUAAAAUGUUCAGAAACAUCACAUUAAUUCACUUAAAAAUAGAUACUCGAGCAUAAAAAAAUUAAAUAAAAAGAUUCACAAUACCAAAAAAAUCAUAUUCAUUCGCUUUUCUUAAACUUUUUAAAUCUUUGACGUAAGCAAGAACAAAAAAUAGAGAGAAAACGUCUCCUUUCUCUCUGUUUCUCUCUCUAACUAGGAGAGUAUGGAAACACCUGGAUGGAAUCUUAUUAUCUCCCUCUGUCUCUCUUCUUUGAAACAAAAACCCUAAAAAACUAAAAUCCAAAAAAAAAAAAUAACACACCAAAAUCCCACUCUAGCCCCACUCUCUCUCUCUCCCACUCUAAACAGUCGGUAGUACCUGUCGCCUUCAAAUGUGACUUUUGCACCACUGACAACAUUCAUUUUUCUUUUUCUCUAUAUAAAGACUCGGUUUUUAUUUUUCAAAAAUGACUUCUUCUUCUUCUAUUAAGGAGACGACGGAGGAGGAGCAGGUUACGCCGGAUAUUUUACCGGCUGACGGUGGUGUUGGUGGAGUGGAGAAGAUUGAGCCUGUCAGUAGUGGGGGGGAGGAAGAGAGUGGUGGUGAGAAACUUGACGAUUCAAUGGAAGAGGACUCAGUGAGUCCGGCUACUGUGUUUUGUAUUAGGCUGAAACAGCCACGGUCGAAUUUGCAGCAUAAAAUGAGUGUGCCUGAGCUUUGUCGCAAAUUUAGGUCAGUUUUUGAUUGAGAUUUGAGUGGAUUUUGGUUGUUUGAUUAUUAAAGCUGUGGUUUUCAAGUGAAAUUCGAUUUAGGUUUGGUGUUCUUUUAUCCUUUUGGAUUGUGGGCCUAGUUGGGGCUUCUUUUAAGUGGAUUUGGAGUCUCUUUUAGACAAUUGGAGUGAACUGUAAUAGUUCUUAGGGUUCUUUUAUGGUUAUAUCUGAGAUAAGACAAAGUUCUUGGUUCUUCAAUUGAAUUUGGAAUGAGUUCUGUUUGUGAAUAGAGGUUGUUUAGUGUUUAACCAGAGAAUUUUGAUGGGAUUUGAGUGUUUUUAAUUUUACGAAUGUUACAAUUAUAGGUUCUUUUAAGUUGGAAUUGAGUUUCUUUUUCACAAAUAUCAGUGUAUUGUGAUUGUCGUUAAGUUUCUUUUAGGUAGUUUAUGAAAUAAUGCAAGUGUUUUAUUCGAUUCUUCAAGUGAGUCGUGUUUGUAUAUGGAAGUUGUUCAGUCUCUAAACUUCGUGGGUUUUAAGCGAAACUUUAUUAAGGUUUAGUGUUUUUACUCUGUUGAUUGGAGCACAGACUCUUCUUUUAUUGAAUUUUGAUUUUUUUUCUUCUGCAAUUUGAGCUUAUCAGAUAUCGCUAUUGGUUAGGGUUCUUUUACUUAUCAAAAUGUGUUUUUUUUGAGUAGUUUUAUGGAAGUUGAGUUUCUUUUUUGUUUAAGUCUUUAGAUACCUGGAUUCCUUCAAGUGGGAUUUAUGCUUUGAUUUAGUUGUUUUUGAUGCUCUGUUGUUAGUGUAGGAAGUGGAAGUGAGUUUAGGACGAGUGAAAAAUCAAGUUUGGAAAAAUAUGAUAGAGAAAGAGAGUUUUAGAAUUGAUUGGUGGAUAUGUAAAGGAUACACUAAAGUUGGUGAAGUGAUAACAAUGAAGAAGUAUACGAUCAAGUUAUUUGGUAUAUGCUAUAUAGAAGCUUGCUUUUAUGUUUUGAUUAAAUAUUGAAAAUCACCAUCUUCACACUUGUAUCAGGGUGAUAAAUCAUUCUAUUUCUGCAAUUUCUAGUGUUGAACUAUUAUGAGAAUGGCAUUUUUUGGCAGAAAAAAUAUGCAUUCCUAACAUCGAUCUGCCAUGGGAGCACAAAAUAGAACAGAAGGUAGGACAACGGGAAAUUGUAGACUUUACUUGCAGAUUUUCUUAUAAAUGCUUUCUAGUUGCUACGGUGUUUUCUCACUCUUACUUUCUCUGGUCAUUCUCAUCUAUUUUACACUCGAAACAUGAUGCCAUAACAAUGAGCGUCACAAACUUGUAGCUACAUGCAGUUGGUUUGUGACAUGCGUAUUGUUAAACCAUGAUACUCCUAAUGUAGGUUUUGAGAUUCUAUUAACAGCUGUCUAAAGUAAAUGAGCUGUAGUUAUUUAAAGCAUCUUUGCUUGUCCAUUCUACCAUUUUACUGGUCUUUACCAAAUUCAUAUUUUAACGUAUGCUUUUCCAGUGCUGUUGCUUGGUGUGGUAAGCUGAACGCGAUAGCUUGUGCAUCAGAAACUUGUGCAAGAAUUCCCAGGUCAGUGGAUUUUUGGAUUUCUAGCAUGUUUCAGUUUAAUAGGGGAGAGCAUUCACUAUACAUUGUUGCCAAUUGGACUUUCCUAUAAAUACGCUAAUGUGCUUGAGAACAGAUGUUGAAACAUGAUUGAUAUUUGCUAUAGUGAACUAUUUCGGGUUCUUCUAAUUAAAAUAUAAGAUUGUACCCAAGAUGGACUCACAUGUUUGCAAUUAAUAUUUUAAUAUCAUCAUUUGCAAUUUUUUUUUGUAGCUCCAAUGCAAACCCCCCAUUUUGGAUCCCCAUACACUUGGUUAUCCCUGAGAGACCAACUGAAUGUGCAGUUUUCAAUGUCAUAGCAGGUAUUUUGAGUCACCUUGCACCGUUUACCAUGUCUUCCUUUUUUUUAAGUUUUAAUUAGUCAUGUAUGCCGAGUGUAUUUCAUUCAUCUAUUAUAUGUUAGAUUUCUCGCUGAUUUAUUACUUCCCUCUUUCUAUUGGGCUCUAAUUUCCCAUUUUCGAGUUAUUGAAUUGGAUCCCUUUGCAGAUUCUCCUCGUGAUUCUGUUCAGUUUAUCGAAUGGUCCCCUACUUCUUGCCCUCGUGCAUUAUUAAUAGCUAAUUUCCAUGGGAGGAUAACUAUCUGGACUCAGCCUUCUCAAGUAAGCUAACUUGAUGGAUUGUUUAAGCCAGAUAUAAAAUAAGUAGAUGCCCUUUUCCACUCACUAGUUCUUAAGAACUAAGCUUUUCAUGGCUUGCUCAACGUAAGAGGUUUGGGGCUGGCCCUGUUUUGGUUUUUACCCAUUGCUGUCUCUCUGUGUUUAUGCAUACCACUUGCUUAUAAUUUUUAAAUUCUCUUGUAGCUUACAUCUUAUCUGGUCGUGCAGUGUCCAUCUAAUUUGGUGCGUGAUGCUAGCUGCUGGCAGCGUGAGCAUGAAUGGCGACAGGACAUUGCAGUUGUUACUAAAUGGCUAUCUGGGGUCUCUCCAGUAUGCAGUUAUUAUGUUUUUGUUAUCUGAUUCUUAAAUUAUCCAUGUAUUAUGCUUUGCACAUAGGUGGUGGUAGUUUAGUAUUUAUCUAUAUUUCUCAGUUCUCUAGUUUAUCUCUGUUUUUUUAAAUUUGUGUUGGUAUUUGGUUAUACUCCCGCUGUAGUCCGACUUCUCUUAAAAAAUCAGUACAGGUGGCUUUCGUCAAAGUCCAGUACUCCCACAAACUCAAAGUCAGCUUUUGAGGAAAAAUUCCUUUCUCAGCAUUCUCAAACUUCAGGUUUGUUUUCAUGACUUCUCUUUAUAAGCGUUUGUAGAGGCUCAAGUGGGAGCUUUAAGCCCAGUUCCAUUUUUAGCUUGUAAGGGCCAUGCCUUCUGACUAGCUACUUAACAUCCACUGAAUUAUAUCAUGUGGCUGUUGCUUUGAGAAGAAUAGUUCAGGUUAUUUUCUGAACAGCUGUAAAUUUAGAAUAGUAAUUUGGUUGUAGUUUCUGCUAUGGUUUUAUUCAUUACUGGUUGUAGUUUCUGCUAAGGAUUUAUUCAUUAUUGGAUCAACUUCUAACUACUGUAUCGUGAAUGUUCCUAGAAAGAUGCAAUGUAUGUCAAGCACAGAAACUCUUAAUUUAAGAAUUUUUGAUAUCUGCCACCUUUUCUCCUAAUUAUGAGAAUGAACUGGUGCUUUUAACCGACUAUUGACCACUGCUGCUAGUGCUAUGUAUUCCAAUAAUGAUGGUGAUACUUUUGGUGUUCUUUCUGCUUUUGAGGUACCUCCACUUGGCAUAUUAAAACAGCCCCAUGACCAUCACUAACGUGCUUUCUGUUUUUCUUUCAGCUAGAUGGCCAAAUUUCCUCUGUGUUUGUUCAGUUUUCUCAUCGGGCUGUGUUCAACUUCAUUGGUCCCAGUGGCCCCCUAGCCAGAAUAAUACAUCACCGAAGUGGUUUUGCACGAGCAAAGGACUCUUGGGUGCCGGCCCUAGUGGGAUUAUGGCUGCUGAUGCUAUUAUAACAGAUAGUGGUGCAAUGCAUGUUGCAGGUGUUCCGAUUGUAAACCCUUCAACUGUUGUUGUUUGGGAGGUUACUCCUGGCCCUGGAAAUGGAUUUCAAGCGACCCCAAUGGCGAGUGCUAGCAAUGGGGUCCCGCCUUCAGUCAAGCCUCCUAAUUGGUCUGGUUUUGCUCCUUUGGCUGCAUAUUUAUUCAGCUGGCAGGAGCAUCUGAUGUCUGAAGCAAUGCCAGGGAAAAAGCAUAUGGAUAAAGAUUUCACUGACACUGUCUCACUUCAUUGUUCGCCAGUUUCAAAUUUUUCUGCGUAUGUGAGUCCGGAGGCUGCAGCUCAAUCUGCAGCAACUACCACUUGGGGUUCUGGAGUCAGUGCCGUUGCUUUUGAUCCGACUCGUGGUGGCUCUGUGAUUGCGGUUGUUAUAGUUGAGGGUACCUACCAGCAUUCUGAAUUGAAAUUUUAUUUUUUGCCUGUUCCAUAUUUUUCCCAUAAGAAAUCCUCUUUCAGUAUGUUUUUAUAUAGUUUGUGUGAUUAUGCUUGUGCAACAGUGUCCUGGGCUCUCUUUCUCCGUCUACUCGAAUUAAUACUCAUAUUCUUACAGAGAUGUGAGGCUAAAUUUCAUGUUCGAGUCAGCUGAAGAUCCCUUUCUAUGCCCACAGUUAUCUGGAUUCAAUAUAAUAAUAACUAGUUUUACGCCUGCAGGACAAUAUAUGUCCCCUUAUGAUCCAGAUGAGGGUCCUUUAAUCACGGGAUGGAGGGUGCAACGAUGGGAAUCGUCCCUUCAACCUGUCGUACUUCAUCCAAUAUUUGGAAAUCCCACUUCUGGUUUUUGUGGGCAGGCACCCAUGCAAACUGUAUGGGUGUCCAAAGUGGAUACAAGCAUACCACCAACUAAUGAUUUUAAAAAUCUCCAAGCAGCUCCUGCAGUACCAAUCUCAGAUGGAAGAAAGGCAUCUGAUUCUCGUUCUGAGAAGACGAAAAGAGUCACCUUUGAUCCCUCUGAUCUGCCCAGCGAUGUUAGAACUCUUGCUCGAAUUGUUUAUUCUGCUCAUGGUGGCGAGAUUGCUAUUGCUUUUCUGCGGGGUGGAGUUCACAUUUUCUCUGGGCCAAACUUCACACUUGUUGACAACUACCAGAUUAAUGUUGGAUCUGCAAUUGCUGCUCCUGCCUUCUCUUCCACAAGCUGCAGCUCAGCUUCAGUUUGGCAUGACACUAGGAAGGAUCGCAGUAUAUUGAAGAUAAUUCGUGUUCUUCCUCCUGCUGGUCCAAUUAGUCAGGUGAAGGCUAACUCAGCAAUCUGGGAGCGUGCUAUUGCUGAAAGGUACUUAGUAGAGUCAUUUGUUUGGGAAUUACUUUGGAAAUCCACAUGUUAGUGGUUAUGGCAUUUCCUUUGGUUAAAAAUCAGAUGAAGGUUGGAUGUGCAGAAAAUUUCAACAUUCUGGUUGGUCAUGCUGAUAUUGUGUUUUGCCAGAGCAGGUUUUGGUGGAGCCUUUUGGUUGGUGUUGAUUGGUGGGAUGCUGUUGGGUGUACACAGAGUGCUGCUGAGGAUGGCAUCGGUAAGAAUAAUUAGAUUCUCCAGUAUUACCGUGGCUUAUAGAAAAGAAAAUAUAUUGAAGAACAAUUUCUUCCCAAGGAUUCCUAUUCUAGAUUUCUUUGCAAGUAACAUGAAUCAAUGGUAAGAUCUUCUGUUGAUGGCUGGUUCUUCGUUUCUUUUCAGUUUCACUUAACAGUGUCAUUGCAGUCUUGGAUGCUGAUUUUCAUUCUCUUCCCUCUACACAGCACAGGCAGCUGUAUGGUCCUGUAUGUUUUUCUGCUCUAUUACCAUCUCAUCAUUAUUUCUUUUGAGAUAGUCUGUCAUUAUGAUAUUUGUAAUUACAAUAUUGAAAGAACGCAUCUAAUCUUUUUUAUGUUUGCGGUUCAUUUCUCUGAAAUUUUCCAUGUCAAAGUCUUUUUGUUAUUUUUUUGGAAAUCGUAUGUGCCAUGGUGGCCCAAUUUCCGCCCCAAAAAAACAAUUUCUAAUUUUGAUAGUUAGCAAGGGCAUCUAGAAUAUUCUAAUGCUGCUAGCCUAGGUCUUGUAGAAUAUUCGACUUGGACUGGACGUAGAAUGGUCUUGUGGCACAUUACAUAAGGUAUGACAUGUAAUGUGCGCCUCAUAAGCACACAUGUUAUAUCGUUGCACAUUAUAACCCUAAAAUCCCAUGCAAGACAUUGCUUUAACCUAUGACAUUGCUUUUCCUUUAAUUUUGUGGUGACAAUUCAAAGCUCCUGUUACUGGCUGUCCCAUUUUCUAGAAUGCAUUUGGCUGGGCAAGUAAACUUGUUUUUAAUGAUGCAGAGUCUGGACAGGAUAAAAUGUAGGCUAUUGGAAGGUACAAAUGCUCAGGAGGUUAGGGCAAUGGUUCUUGACAUGCAAGCUAGGUUGCUGCUUGAUAUGCUCGGCAAAGGCAUUGAGUCAGCUUUGAUAAAUCCUUCAGCAUUAGUACUUGAACCAUGGCAGGCUUCUGGCGAGACAUUAUCUGGCAUUGAUCCUGAAGCAAUGACUGUUGAGCCAAACCUUGUUCCGAAUAUUCAGGUUUGCUCUUUUCUCUCUAUUAUCUCAUAUUAAGUUUUGGGUCCUGUUGAAGUUUUUACUACUGAAGAUCUACUCCUACCAGCAAUAUGUGGCUUACUCAUGACCUGAUUGCCAGUGAUAAGAUGCUUAUAUCUGAUACAUGAAAUGUGUGAUGAUGGUUGUAUGGCUUGGGCUGUACCUUGGCUUUUAUGGCCUGGAAACUGAUGCCUGAACAAACAAUAUAUGUGUGGCAGUUUAGGCUUGUUAGUCUGCUGUAUCCAAGCACUCAGACUGAGCUGGUUGGAUAUUUCCCUGCCUCCAGUCAGCUCAAACAUCUGCCCUUGUUGAUGCAGGUUUAUGAUUUGUUAAUUUUCUCUAACUGUGGUAAUUUCAUGCAGGCUUAUGUUGAUGCAGUUCUUGAUCUAGCUUCACAUUUUAUCACACGUCUACGGCGUUAUGCAAGUUUCUGUCGCACACUGGCCAGUCACGCCGUUACAGCAGGCGCAGGCAGUAACCGCAAUACGGUGACUAGUCCUACUCAAAGUUCGGCAUCUCCCGCACCAAAUCAGGGUUAGUAUGCAGCGUCUAGUGUUCAUCUUUAUGAAGGAGAAAGAUAAAAUUCCUUUAUUCCAUAAUUUUGUGUUUGCUAAGUUUUGUGGUGUCCAACUUCAAAAGCUUGUGGAGUCCUGUAAUAUGAUCUUUACUGCUUAAGAGGUUACUGCCUUAGUCUCUGGGAAAAUUCCAUAAAAACUCUUAUAUUCUUUCUCUCACUUUCUUAUGGUUAUUAUGUUUAACACUCUGUCUUCUAAUGCAUUUUCUCCAGGUGGUCAAAGUGGCGGUACAAGUUCUACUGGAAGCACUCAGAUGCAAGCUUGGGUACAAGGUGCCAUUGCUAAGAUUAGUAGCACAACAGAUGGAGUGUCCACUGCAACACCAAACCCCAUAAGUGGUCCAUCUUCUUUCAUGCCAAUAAGCAUCAAUACUGGAACUUUUCCUGGAACCCCAGCAGUGAGGCUCAUCGGUGACUGCCAUUUCCUUCACAGAUUAUGCCAGCUUCUGCUUUUCUGUUUUUUCUUUCGGCGAACUCAACUACCUCGCUUUGCCGGAGGUACACAGAGAAAUCCCACUGAUACAAAUGCGCAAAAACCUCAGUCUGGUGCUGCUGGCAAGGUGGAGGAGAUCAACACUGUUUCUUCAAAGCCAGCACCAGCUGUAGUUAGGUCGGAUGAAGGGCAGGCAGUUCGAGGUAGUCAGGUAGUGCCUGGAGCUAAAGCAGUCGAAGAGGGACCUGCAGGCAGGCACAGGGUAGGCAAUGGAAAUGCUGGCCAAGGAUACAGUUUUGAGGAGGUAGAAACUGGUGCUUUUUAAUUUCGUCUAGUCUUCACAUGUUACGAAGAAUCUUCAUUAGAAUUUUGGUUUCUUAUCUGGCUAAAUAUAUUCUUUCUGAUCUAUGGACUGAGGAAAAAACUGCUUGACCUUCAAGUCAAUCGCGUAGUUUUUGGGCAUCCGAAAGGUUUUUGAUAAUUCUCUCGGUUAAGGAAACAAUCAAUCAAUCAGCAGUGGUACCCUAGAUUAAGAUAAAGGCUCAUUCUUUGCUGCCAUGUAGGUGACGGUCCUUUUCCUCAUACUCAUGGAUCUGUGUCGGCGAACAGCAUCUCUGGGACACCCAUUGCCGGUUUCUCAAGUAGGAAGCAGCAAUAUCCAGGUGCGGUUGCAUUAUAUUGACGGCAAUUAUACUGUAUUGCCAGAGGUUGUAGAAGCAUCUCUUGGUCCGCAUAUGCAGGUAUCUAUGCUUAUGAUUUACUCCUGUAAAUGAACCUUUGGUUGUUUGGAAGUAGCUUUCUUUCUUUCUUGUUUCUUUUUUGAUAGGGAUAGCCCUCCACUUUUCCUUCUGUAAUUUUUUUGGACAAACAACUGUUUUGUUAACUUUAUGUAACAUUUUGUUGUGGAAUCCACAGAACAUGCCACGGCCCAGAGGUGCAGAUGCUGCUGGUCUGUUACUCCGAGAGUUAGAACUACACCCUCCAUCUGAAGAGUGGCACAGGCGGAAUAUGUUUGGCGGACCCUGGUCUGAUCCAGAGGAUAUGGGUUCAGACGAUACUUCUAAGCUUAACUCCACAAAUUCACUUGAUUUUAGCUCACUGGAAAAUUGUGAUGUUUAUUACGGAGCUCAUGGCCUUUGGCCGAGGAAGCGCAGACUGUCUGAAAGAGAUGCAGCUGUUGGCUUGAACACCUCUGCAGGCCUGGGAGCAUAUCUUGGCAUAAUGGGUUCUCGAAGAGAUGUUGUUACUGCAGUGUGGAAGACUGGUCUUGAAGGCGUUUGGUACAAGGUCACUCCAUUUUUCUUCUCCCUCUUAUUUGGUUUUUUUUUUUUUUUUUUUGUUUUGAUCUUGUCAGUUAUUUUUUUUUUGUUAUUCAGCCAUCUUUUCUGUAGGAUUACUGAAUUAAAAAGGAAAAUCUAUUUUUAUGUUAUUGGUAAGUUUGUGUCAUGUAUCUAGAAGGAGGUACUCAACAUAAUUAAGCCUUGAAGUGAAUUUAGUCGUUGUAAGGCAGUGAAUUAUAUUCCCCUGUUAUCCCCUAUACACUGCUGCAUCCACCACAAGAUGCUUAAAACCCAAUUCCCUUUACUCCCCAACUCACAUAAGAGGAGGAUCAACCAUGAUUACUCACGGAUCCGACUUUUAUGUGAGUGGAGCAGUUCUCUGGGAGUGCUGAAUUAUAUUUCCUUGGACACAAGGAUGAAUGGUCAAGAGGUGAUUUACUAGGUUUUGGUACUCGUGGUUCAUAAUCUGGAAAUGGUCGGACAUUAUUUUCAAUUUAAUUGUGGUGCUAGGGAAUGAAACAAGUGAACUGCUUUGUUUAUGAUAAGAUAUGUUUCUCUUGCAUAAUAUGUUUCCAUCAGAGAUAAGAAUCUGCAAAGGAAUAACCUCACUCAUAAAUUUUCUCUCUUGCCAUAUAACCAUUCAUAUGUUUAUUUCAGUUGCAAAUCCUCUGCCCUCUCUGCAUGCGUGGAUCUGCCUGUAAUCUAUUAUACCUAUCUAACAUUAUUGUUAUUAAUGCAGUGCAUAAGAUGUUUGCGGCAGACUUCGGCUUUGGCCUCCCCUGGUGCUGCAAAUCCACCAGAUCAAAAUGAAAGAGAGGCUUGGUGGAUCAGCCGUUGGGCCUAUGGCUGUCCGAUGUGUGGGGGGACAUGGGUUCGAGUUGUAUAGACGAGACUGCAAUCACAAAUGUUAAUUAGAUGGAGCUUUCCACUUUCAUGACAAUCAAUUCAAGGUGGUGCAUGCAUGACUGCAAUGUUAAUUAGCCGCGGCUUUCCACUUUCAUGACAAUCAAUUCAGGGCAAGCUCAUGCAGUAGCUGAUGUUGAAGAAAGCAGCACUCUUUGAUGGUAGU
Molecule: long non-coding RNA, 17161 nt
Filed under: Populus trichocarpa (black cottonwood)
Lineage: Eukaryota; Viridiplantae; Streptophyta; Magnoliopsida; Malpighiales; Salicaceae
Description: long non-coding RNA (PTRI_LNC001139)
Source: RNAcentral